Cervus elaphus (red deer) is the source of this 2605-nucleotide long non-coding RNA. RefSeq lists it as uncharacterized. The transcript is spliced from 5 exons. The record is from RefSeq and is a predicted model, not a curated record. Lineage: Eukaryota; Metazoa; Chordata; Mammalia; Artiodactyla; Cervidae.
GGUGACUCAGAGGUUAAAGCGUCUGCCUGCAAUGCCAGAGACCCGGUUAACCAGGCACCAAAGGGCCGAUAUGUAGCCUGGAAACAUGUGCACCCAACACAGAGAAGCUUGGAGAGCUAAUAGCAAAUGUUUGGGCAGUGUGGGGAAAGGACUGUCCUUGAAAAUGAAACAGGCAUCGUUACUGCUGGACUUCUCACAUUUGUAAAUACGUUAAUAGAACACUCUGGGCUUCUAAGGUUUCAGUUUGAAAAGAAGCUAAUUGUUUGAAAAAUGUAGGUUACAAGCCACUUAGGAAAGUCCCUCUCUGAUGCUCUGUAGACGGCAGAGCAGGAAGUCAAAGGUGGCCGGCUGAGAUUGCUGCCAUCAAUUUCUCAUCAGUGGCUCCACAACUGCGUCUCUCCUGAUUGAAGUGACAAAACAGAAUAUUUAAUCCUAACUCCAAUCCUUCUCUUUUUGGCUACCACGGACCUCACUCCAUCUGUGAAAAGAUCUCAACUUUCAGUUUUAAGGUAAGUAAAUUCUGGAGAUGGGACAUAUCACAUGAUGCCACAUGAAAAGCUCUCAACUUCCAGUUAUAAGAUAAAUAAACCCUAGAGAUGAAAUGUACCACAAAAUGACGAUAGUGAACAAUAUAUUUGAAAGUUGCUCAAGGAGUAGGUUUUACAAAUUCUCAUUACAAGAAAAAAAUUAUAACUCGGUGUGUGAUGAAUGUUAACUAGACUUACUGUGAUCAUGUCAUAAUAUAUACAUGCAUGAAGUCAUUAUGUUGCACACCUUAAUGUUAUAUGACAAGUAUAUCUCAAUAAACUGGAAAAACAUCUCAGGUUGUAGGAUGAUUAAGGUAAUAAACAAUAAAGAUACAUAAUAAAGGUAACAAUCAUUUGCUAAAAGUGUACUACAUUUUAAGUCAUUUUCAUGCCCUAUUUUAUUGAAUCUGUACAAUAAUCGUGUUGGAAUCAUUACAUUCUAAUUCUAGAAAAGAAAUAAGGAGGCUAAUAGGGGUUAUCAUUUAUGCAAAGUGACACAGUUAGCAAGUGUCAGAGCUGAGAUUGGAGUCCAAGGUUUUUUGUCUUCAAAGCCUUUGCUGUCUACCUACAAAAACAGUAAGGAUCUUAGACAAGGUGUGGGUUAGUUGCUCAGUCAUGUCCGACUUUGUGACCCUAUGGACUGUAACCCGCCAGGCUCCUCUGUCCAUGGGAUUUCCCAGGCAAGAAUACUGGAGUGGGUUGCCAUUUCCUUCUCCAGGGGAUCUUCCCAACCUGGUGAUCGAACUUGGGUCUCCCACAUUGCAGGCAGAUUCUUUAACGUCUGAGCCACCAAGCAAGUCAAUCUAUACCCCCUUGAUUCUCUUUAAUUCUCCAAGUCUCCAUCAUCAUUGUCUUUUCUAUCUAGUGCCUCAUUCCUUGUGUUUCAGAUACUCAACUUCAGUGUUUGAGGGGUGGAGAGAGAUGGGUUGAGGGGUUUGUGUCUGGACUCUUGUUAGGAUAACCAGCAGAUCAUCUUGCCUUGCAUGACCCUGGGGCAGAAUCAGUGCUUUGCAGGUAAACUGGCUCUGACCCUUUGUGGCCCCAUGGAUUGCAGCCCAUCAGACUCCUCUGUUCUUGGGAAUUUUUAGGUAAGCAUACGGAAGUGGGCUGCCACUUCCCUCUCCAGGGGAUCUUCCCAGUUCCAGGGAUCAAACCAGAUUCGCCGGUGUCUGUAUUGCAAGCAGAUUCUUUACCUGCUGAGCCAUCGGGGAAGCUCAAGCAAAUUGGCACUAAAUCUCAGUUGUUGAACCAACACUUCACUCACGUUGAUUAAGCACUUACUGUGUGUCUAGUAUGUCAGCAGUGGUUUUGCAAAGAUGAAUGUGAUUCAAGACCUCAAAGCUGGCAGGAGAGGUCUGCACAGAGAUGGUCACAGUUGGCCGGGCUAAGGGCUGUGUGUCUUGGUGCUUAGCUUAGCAGGGUCUGCUGAGACUCUCGGGUUCCAGGCCCUUCUUCCCUAUGACUCACCUCCUAACCCUAAACAAAUUAUGUCAACUUUUCUGUGCCUCAGUUGCUUUACCUAUAAAGCGAGGAUAAUCACAGUGGCUUACCUCAGAGGGGUGUAGUGAGAAAAGUCUAAUAAAAGACUGAGCAGUAAAUGUCAGAGGGUUUGUUAAGAAUUAGUGCUACCUGAAUGCUGAAUGAUGAACCAGAAUUUCUUCUGUGUCAAAGGCAGCAGGCAGUUGGGCAAUGUUCUAGUGUUUAAUCACUUACCCUACAGACGUCCCUCAGAUGAAAGCUUCCCCCUUAAUAACAGGUGCCUAUGUGGUAAAGGUUCUUAGUCAAGUGUUGAGAAGGAAGAGUUGUCUAAUCCUUUUGGUAUUCUUACAGUUAGGUAUUCCAGGUGGGUAAGCAUCUUUCUGUUUCUUAAAGAUAUUGAAGAAAGCAAGGAGAAAGUCAAGUUUUCCUCAUUUAUUUAUUCACUCAUUAAUUUAGCAAGUAUUAUUUGUUGAUGUGAUGUGAGAGUUGGGCCAUAAGGAUAGCUGAACGUCAAAAAUUGAUGCUUUUGAACUGUGAUGUUGGAGGAGACUCUUGAGAGUCCCUUGAACUGCAAGGAGAUCAAAUAAGUCAAUCCUAAA